This 1437-nucleotide ribosomal RNA is filed under the name uncultured organism. RNAcentral's name for it is "16S ribosomal RNA". It matches the Rfam family "Bacterial small subunit ribosomal RNA". The record is from RNAcentral.
GCUUAACACAUGCAAGUCGAGGGGCAGCACAGGUAGCAAUACCGGGUGGCGACCGGCGCACGGGUGAGUAACGCGUAUGCAACUUGCCUAUCAGAGGGGGAUAACCCGGCGAAAGUCGGACUAAUACCGCAUGAAGCAGGGAUCCCGCAUGGGAAUAUUUGCUAAAGAUUCAUCGCUGAUAGAUAGGCAUGCGUUCCAUUAGGCAGUUGGCGGGGUAACGGCCCACCAAACCGACGAUGGAUAGGGGUUCUGAGAGGAAGGUCCCCCACAUUGGUACUGAGACACGGACCAAACUCCUACGGGAGGCAGCAGUGAGGAAUAUUGGUCAAUGGCCGAGAGGCUGAACCAGCCAAGUCGCGUGAGGGAUGAAGGUUCUAUGGAUCGUAAACCUCUUUUAUAAGGGAAUAAAGUGCGGGACGUGUCCCGUUUUGUAUGUACCUUAUGAAUAAGGAUCGGCUAACUCCGUGCCAGCAGCCGCGGUAAUACGGAGGAUCCGAGCGUUAUCCGGAUUUAUUGGGUUUAAAGGGUGCGUAGGCGGCCUUUUAAGUCAGCGGUGAAAGUCUGUGGCUCAACCAUAGAAUUGCCGUUGAAACUGGGGGGCUUGAGUAUGUUUGAGGCAGGCGGAAUGCGUGGUGUAGCGGUGAAAUGCAUAGAUAUCACGCAGAACCCCGAUUGCGAAGGCAGCCUGCCAAGCCAUUACUGACGCUGAUGCACGAAAGCGUGGGGAUCAAACAGGAUUAGAUACCCUGGUAGUCCACGCAGUAAACGAUGAUCACUAGCUGUUUGCGAUACACUGUAAGCGGCACAGCGAAAGCGUUAAGUGAUCCACCUGGGGAGUACGCCGGCAACGGUGAAACUCAAAGGAAUUGACGGGGGCCCGCACAAGCGGAGGAACAUGUGGUUUAAUUCGAUGAUACGCGAGGAACCUUACCCGGGUUUGAACGCAUUCGGACCGAGGUGGAAACACCUUUUCUAGCAAUAGCCGUUUGCGAGGUGCUGCAUGGUUGUCGUCAGCUCGUGCCGUGAGGUGUCGGCUUAAGUGCCAUAACGAGCGCAACCCUUGCCACUAGUUACUAACAGGUAAAGCUGAGGACUCUGGUGGGACUGCCAGCGUAAGCUGCGAGGAAGGCGGGGAUGACGUCAAAUCAGCACGGCCCUUACAUCCGGGGCGACACACGUGUUACAAUGGCGUGGACAAAGGGAGGCCACCUGGCGACAGGGAGCGAAUCCCCAAACCACGUCUCAGUUCGGAUCGGAGUCUGCAACCCGACUCCGUGAAGCUGGAUUCGCUAGUAAUCGCGCAUCAGCCAUGGCGCGGUGAAUACGUUCCCGGGCCUUGUACACACCGCCCGUCAAGCCAUGGGAGCCGGGGGUACCUGAAGUCCGUAACCGCGAGGAUCGGCCUAGGGUAAAACUGGUGACUGGGGCUAAGUCGUA